CCUACGGGGUGCAGCAGUGGGGAAUAUUGCACAAUGGGCGAAAGCCUGAUGCAGCAACGCCGCGUGAGCGAAGAAGGCCUUUGGGUCGUAAAGCUCUGUUGGAAGGGAAGAAACAAAUGACGGUACCUUCUGAGGAAGCCCCGGCUAACUACGUGCCAGCAGCCGCGGUAAUACGUAGGGGGCAAGCGUUAUCCGGAAUUAUUGGGCGUAAAGAGUGCGUAGGUGGUCUUGUAAGCGUGGGGUGAAAGGCAGUGGCUUAACCAUUGUAAGCCCUGCGAACUGUGAGACUUGAGUGCAGGAGAGGAAAGCGGAAUUCCUAGUGUAGCGGUGAAAUGCGUAGAUAUUAGGAGGAACACCAGUGGCGAAGGCGGCUUUCUGGACUGUAACUGACACUGAGGCACGAAAGCGUGGGGAGCAAACAGGAUUAGAUACCCCCGUAGUC
This 442-nucleotide ribosomal RNA is filed under the name uncultured bacterium. Its description in RNAcentral is "bacterial SSU rRNA". It matches the Rfam family "Bacterial small subunit ribosomal RNA", at positions 338 to 795 of the family's 1533-position model. The record is from RNAcentral.